This 780-nucleotide ribosomal RNA is filed under the name uncultured Neocallimastigales. RNAcentral's name for it is "partial large subunit ribosomal RNA". It matches the Rfam family "Eukaryotic large subunit ribosomal RNA", at positions 20 to 610 of the family's 3401-position model. Lineage: Eukaryota; Fungi; Neocallimastigomycota; Neocallimastigomycetes; Neocallimastigales. The record is from RNAcentral.
UACUAGAGUAGCACUCGCAUAUCAAUAAGCGGAGGAAAAGAAACUAACAAGGAUUCCCCUAGUAACGGCGAGUGAAGCGGGAAGAGCUCAAAUUUGAAAUCUUAAAGGGUUUCCCUUUACGAAUUGUAGUUUAAAGAAGUGUUUUCUGUUGGAGUUUCGGUAAAAGUUCUUUGGAAUAGGACAUCAUAGAGGGUGAGAAUCCCGUAUUUGACCGUUACUUUCCAGCUGUGUGAUACACUUUCAAAGAGUCGGAUUGUUUGGGAAUGCAGUCCAAAAUGGGUGGUAAAUUUCAUCUAAAGCUAAAUAUUGGCGAGAGACCGAUAGCGAACAAGUACCGUGAGGGAAAGAUGAAAUGAACUUUGAAAAGAGAGUUAAACAGUACGUGAAAUUGUCAAAAGGGAAGCGUUUGACACCAGUGUUGUUUUCUCGAAAAUCAAUUAAAAAAGGCCGGAUUUUGUGUUGUAUUGACCUUAAAAGCUUUCUUCACUCUUUUCUUGUCUUUUUUAAUGCACUUUUCGUUUAACAAGUCAACAUCAGUUUCUUUUGUUGUAAAAGGGUCAUUGGAAGGUGGCUUUCUUUUCGGAGAAAGUGUUUAUAGCCUUUGAUCUCCUGCAAUCGGAGAGACUGAGGUCUGCAGCGUAGAUCCUUUUUGGGAUUAGAUACAUUUGUGCUAAGUUAUAGCUUUUUCAUAGACAACUUGUUGACUAUAUUUAGUCUUGUAGGCUUACUCGCUGACGCUAUUUUACCUACGCUUAGGAUGUUGAUAGUCACAGCGUGUAC